RNAcentral lists this ribosomal RNA (337 nucleotides) under uncultured delta proteobacterium. RNAcentral's name for it is "bacterial SSU rRNA". It matches the Rfam family "Bacterial small subunit ribosomal RNA", at positions 1023 to 1360 of the family's 1533-position model. The record is from RNAcentral. Lineage: Bacteria; Deltaproteobacteria.
AGAGCCAGGUGACAGGUGCUGCAUGGCUGUCGUCAGCNCGUGUCGUGAGAUGUUGGGUUAAGUCCCGCAAACGAGNNAACCCCCUAUCGUUAGUUGCCAUCAGUUCGGCUGGGCACUCUAGCAGACUGCCGGUGACAAACCGGAGGAAGGUGGGGACGACGUCAAGUCCUCAUGGCCCUUAUGAUCGGGGCUACACACGUACUACAAUGGGCACUACAGAGGGCAGCGAACCCGCGAGGGCGAGCAAAUCCCAAAAAAGUGUCCUCAGUUCGGAUUGGAGUCUGCAACUCGACUCCAUGAAGUCGGAAUUGCUAGUAAUCGCGGAUCAGCAUGCCAC